RNAcentral lists this unclassified non-coding RNA (335 nucleotides) under soil metagenome. RNAcentral's name for it is "partial contains 5.8S ribosomal RNA, internal transcribed spacer 2, and large subunit ribosomal RNA". The stretch from base 5 to 119 matches the Rfam family "5.8S ribosomal RNA", at positions 40 to 154 of the family's 154-position model. The record is from RNAcentral.
GAUGAGAACGUAGCGAAAUGCGAUAAGUAAUGUGAAUUGCAGAAUUCAGUGAAUCAUCGAAUCUUUGAACGCACAUUGCGCCCGCCAGUAUUCUGGCGGGCAUGCCUGUUCGAGCGUCAUUUCAACCAUCAAGCCCCAGGCUUGUGUUGGGGACCUGCGGCUGCCGCAGGCCCUGAAAACCAGUGGCGGGCUCGCUGUCACACCGGGCGUAGUAGAUUUUAUCUCGCUCUGGGCGUGCUGCGGGUUCCGGCCGUUAAAAAACCCUUUUAACCCAAGGUUGACCUCGGAUCAGGUAGGAAUACCCGCUGAACUUAAGCAUAUCAAUAAGCGGAGGA